This is a long non-coding RNA of Myotis davidii, 693 nucleotides long. RefSeq lists it as uncharacterized. The record is from RefSeq and is a predicted model, not a curated record. The transcript is spliced from 8 exons. Lineage: Eukaryota; Metazoa; Chordata; Mammalia; Chiroptera; Vespertilionidae.
GAAAAUUAUGGUUAUAUCAUAUAAACUUUUUUCCUCCAGAUAAUGGAGUUACCUAUACUGUUAAUCUCAUUUAACUACAAUCAGCAAAAUAUGGUAUUUUAAUGAGGUACCACUAUCAGGAAUAGUAUUUCAUAUGAUGGAAUGCCACAGAGAAUCCAAAACAUGUAGAGUAACUGAAUCCAGCAAACCUAAGAAUGAGGCAGCUGGUCAGAAAAUACAAGUACAUCAGUUGGAGAGGAAACAUAUUCAGAAGUCAUGUGAAAGGAGAGAGGAGAGAGAAAGAAUGGUCUUUAAAAGUGCCAGCCAAAGGAGAGCAAAGAUGAGAAUUGGAAAGUAAUCAAAUUAUUUCAUUGUCAAAUUGAGUCUUCAAGUUACUGCUUACUUGGUUUUACAUCAUAAAUGGCCACUUGAUCAUUCUGGCAUUUUAUGGUAGAGAAUACAUUGAGUUUGGCUCAUGGAAAGAAUAUGAGAAGCUCAUCUCAUUCUAACACAACUACAUGGGUUUGGCUGAUACUUGGGUGAAUCUGAGUCCUGGACAGUUGAAGAAUAAAGCAUAGUUGCAUCAGUAAUGAUGACUCACUCAACUGGGAGCAUCUCUCUGGGUGAGAAUAAAUUUUGUACAGCUUUAGCAGCAUACUCCAAUUUUUGAUAUGACUCCAUAUGAGGAGGUGACACCCUUGCAGCCUCAUGAGU